Long non-coding RNA from Notolabrus celidotus (New Zealand spotty), 2074 nucleotides. RefSeq lists it as uncharacterized. The record is from RefSeq and is a predicted model, not a curated record. The transcript is spliced from 2 exons. NCBI's taxonomy places the organism in Eukaryota, Metazoa, Chordata, Actinopteri, Labriformes, Labridae.
GUGGCAUGUCUGGGCUUGUUCAACUUCUAUAGGUUCAGAGAUGUACAUCAAUCGUACAUCAUCGUCUGUACAUCAUCGUCUAAAUUAUAUGCAGAAAAAAUCAAUUUAAUCAUCACUGAACAGACUGUGAAACUAUUUUGAGUUAAAGUAAACAUGAGGGAAAAAAUUGAGUUGGCUCAGGUUGGCUCUUGGUCCAGUUGGUCCCCUGGAGCUAGACAAGUUGUAGGCGCGAAACUCACCAGCUGAGCCUCAAUAAAAAAAUGUACUUGAUUUCACACAGCAAGAACUUCCUAUAAAAUAAAUGAAAAAAUAAAAGCUUUACCAAGGGAGAAAAACAAAAGUACAGAAAAGGGGGACCGGGUAUGCUUGUAACACAAGGAGAGUUGUAAGCCCAACAUAGGAGUCAAAUGAUCGUUUGUGUUUAUCCAUUUCCUCCCCAGUAAUACAUGGGGAUUUUUGAGUCUGGAAACAAGUGCAUCUCGUUUCUACUGAGAAAAAAAAGAUUUUGAGGAUUAUCCUCUCAUCGUUUGGCAACCGGCGACUGAGCACAUGGAACUGGGCGGCAAGUCAGAGACGUUCGCCAAAUCAGCAGCAGACUUAUACCAUUACAUCAUUCGCAUCUAUGGGAAACAGUGCAUUAUUUAUGAACCGACAGACAUGUCCAAACCUCUAUUUUGGUAGACCUACUAAACAGUAAACCUACUAUUGAGAGUCAGGCUGAUCAAUUUAAGGUAGCCAUUGACAGCAAGGCGCAAUUGUUUCAGGAAAUCUAAGGUGCACUGUACAAAAUAUGUGACUGCAAGUUCACGAAAUAUAAGGACCACUAGUUGAAUAAUUUUUCCGCUUUCAAGCAUAAAUGUGUGGAAAAUAAGGCUGUUUGGCUCCAACACAGCAGUGGUUCUCCUUGUUAGUAACAUCAUGUACUUAUGACUAACUGAGGGGCGGGUUAUUUUGAGUGAGACACAUACUGUAUAUUUUCUUUAACAUGGAAUUAUUAUGCAACCGAAGCUUAAGUAAAUCAAAGUUGCAUCAGCUAAAUAAGACGGACAAUUUUUGAAAUGAUACUAACUUGAGAUUUUAUAACAGCUGUCUUACUGACCAUCAGUCAAAAACCUGUCAUUGAGUAUGGGCUAGCUUAUAGUGUCUGGCAUUACAGUAAUAUUCAUUCAGUUGGUCAGUUCUUUAUGCAAUACAAACGUUAAAAACAUGAUAUUUAGAUGUUAUGCAACAUUUUCUUUUUCACAAAAGACAUUUGAACUCAAAUUAUGUUUUAACUUGUGACAUACAUUAAAGCUUUGCAGUACAAGAAUUGAUAAAACAACUAAGUUAGUCCUAUUAGUGUUUUCUUGUAGUGAAGUGUUUUGCAUUUGAUUUAAUUAGAAAAAUAAGUUAACAGGAUAAAAUUUGAGAUUACUUUUCAGACUGCAAAAAAAUCUACAUGAUAUGAUUUAGAGUGAAGGGGUUUAGGCUCAGUUUGUAAUUCUUCCUUCACAUCAGUUUUAUAAACAAUUCCAAAGAGCCCAAGAAAUCCAUUCAAUGUAAUAACAGAAAGAGCCCAUUAGUGUUUAUACAACACCGUUUCAAAAAGCUUGUGAGGACAUUGAGAAUUUGUCAGAUUUGUUCAAUUUGAGGGUGUUGCAUUGUCUAUCAAAAGACAAUUUUAUGUAAAUGUUUAUACCACAUAUUGAAAAAGUUACUGAAAUCUUUGGAGAAAAAAACAUAGUGACAAAUGGAUGGGAUUGGUAUGGCUUAGUCCACUCGGGGGAAAAAGGACCUCCUUUAACUUAAUCCACAACACUACUGUGAAGUAAUUUACAAUUUUCAUACAGUAAAUGAUGUAAGGGGUAAAAAGGUUUAUCAAACAAUACCAGGAAAAUGGUAGAAAACAAUAUGCUGCUGACAGAAUGUUCUCAUGAUGAAUAUGUACUUGGGUGACUCAGAAUUUACAUUUGUUGCACUGUGUUGUACUACACUGAUGAGUUUUUUCACACUGCAACUGCAAGAAUAGAGCAUAACACUGAUGCAUAUCUGUAAUCGCCUAACCACUGAAAGAAAUGUACCUAGUUCAAACGUA